AGUGAACGCUGGCGGUAGGCCUAACACAUGCAAGUCGAACGGCAGCACAGUAAGAGCUUGCUCUUACGGGUGGCGAGUGGCGGACGGGUGAGGAAUACAUCGGAAUCUACUUUUUCGUGGGGGAUAACGUAGGGAAACUUACGCUAAUACCGCAUACGACCUACGGGUGAAAGCAGGGGAUCUUCGGACCUUGCGCGAUUGAAUGAGCCGAUGUCGGAUUAGCUAGUUGGCGGGGUAAAGGCCCACCAAGGCGACGAUCCGUAGCUGGUCUGAGAGGAUGAUUAGGCACAAUGGGACUUAGACAACGGCCAGAAUCCUACGGGAGGCAGGAGUGGGGAAAAUUUGGCAAAGGGCGGAAAGCUGGACCAGGCAUACCGGGGUGGGGAAGGAGGCCUUCGGGGUGGAAAGCCCCUUUUGUGGGAAAAAAAAAGAGGAGGUUUAAACCCCGGUGGUCUGACGGUACCCAAAAAAUAAGGACCGGCUAACUUUGGU
RNAcentral lists this ribosomal RNA (492 nucleotides) under uncultured bacterium. RNAcentral's name for it is "partial 16S ribosomal RNA". It matches the Rfam family "Bacterial small subunit ribosomal RNA", at positions 29 to 507 of the family's 1533-position model. The record is from RNAcentral.